This 25-nucleotide unclassified non-coding RNA is filed under the name Mus musculus (house mouse). RNAcentral's name for it is "oocyte_clustered_small_RNA8400". The record is from RNAcentral. Lineage: Eukaryota; Metazoa; Chordata; Mammalia; Rodentia; Muridae.
UGAUGGCCUCAGGUGCACCCGUUAG